UAGAUUUCCAAAAAGACUUGCUGGUUCUGUUGGGAGAUUCUUAUCAUCAUCAGUCCUGCAGUUGCUGGACCUGAUUGUUUCACCAACAGUUUUGAGUCCUGUAACCAACUUGGCACCAGAUGUCCAGAAACUCCAACAUCUAGUGUGGUUCUUCUUGAUCCAAGUGACAACUGGUCCUGGUAAAAGUUUCUGAACUUCCAUUUGGAAAGCAGAGAUUAUUGCUGCAUUACAAAAGUCUCUUGGUGGAUUUCAGCCUGAAAUACUAGAGUAGAGUAUUCUGAAUAUUGUAUUUGAGAUUAUUUGUCAAUUAUUUAGGUGAGCACAAUAAGAUGUCCGUUUAUAUUAUCAUAAACUCUAUCAUAUUCAUCAUCUGCUGUAUUGGAGUUCUGUUAAAUGGAAUCAUUAUCCGGCUUCUUGGAUUCCAAAUUAAGAGAAAUCCUUUCACCAUAUUGAUUCUUAAUUUAGCAAUUGCUGACAUUGGGUUCCUCGCAAUUUGUGGAAUAUCUUGCAUUUUUUAUUUUAUAUAUUUUAUAGGAUUAAAAAUUCCCUUGAUGA
Non-coding RNA from Pantherophis guttatus, 555 nucleotides. The record is from RefSeq and is a predicted model, not a curated record. NCBI's taxonomy places the organism in Eukaryota, Metazoa, Chordata, Lepidosauria, Squamata, Colubridae.